UAGGGAAUCUUCGGCAAUGGGGGCAACCCUGACCGAGCAACGCCGCGUGAGUGAAGAAGAUUUUCGGAUCGUAAAGCUCUGUUGUAAGAGAAGAACGUGUGUGAGAGUGGAAAGUUCACACAGUGACGGUAACUUACCAGAAAGGGACGGCUAACUACGUGCCA
RNAcentral lists this ribosomal RNA (164 nucleotides) under uncultured bacterium. RNAcentral's name for it is "partial 16S rRNA". It matches the Rfam family "Bacterial small subunit ribosomal RNA", at positions 355 to 510 of the family's 1533-position model. The record is from RNAcentral.